Small nucleolar RNA from Tachyglossus aculeatus (Australian echidna), 138 nucleotides. NCBI's taxonomy places the organism in Eukaryota, Metazoa, Chordata, Mammalia, Monotremata, Tachyglossidae. The record is from RefSeq and is a predicted model, not a curated record.
CCCCUCUCAGGGUCACACCUGGAGAGUUUCCAGGACUGUACCAGUCUUGGCUAUGGGAGGGAGAGUCAAGCAGAGGCCUACCCAUUCGAUUCUUGGUUUGGACAGUGGCUAGUGAGUGGAAAGCAAUCUGCCACAAGU